UGACCGGUAGCUCAGGUGGCAGAGCGGCUGCCUUACAAGCAGCGGGUCGCAGGUUCGAGCCCUGUCCGGUCAACGA
Molecule: transfer RNA, 76 nt
Filed under: Actinomadura sp. 7K507
Lineage: Bacteria; Bacillati; Actinomycetota; Actinomycetes; Streptosporangiales; Thermomonosporaceae
Description: tRNA-Val
Rfam family: tRNA
About the family: Transfer RNA (tRNA) molecules are approximately 80 nucleotides in length. Their secondary structure includes four short double-helical elements and three loops (D, anti-codon, and T loops).
Source: RNAcentral